This 38-nucleotide small RNA is filed under the name Arabidopsis thaliana (thale cress). Its description in RNAcentral is "ATSL144580". Lineage: Eukaryota; Viridiplantae; Streptophyta; Magnoliopsida; Brassicales; Brassicaceae. The record is from RNAcentral.
AUGAUGGAAUAGUCAUUUCGAACUCAACUAGCUGAAAA